AGCCUGAACGCUGGCGGCGUGGUUAAGACAUGCAAGUCGCACGGUGUAGCAAUACACAGUGGCGAACGGGUGAGUAAUGAAUCGCUAAUGUACCCCGGACUCUGGGAUAGCUAUCCGAAAAGGAUAGGUAAUACCAGAUGACAUAUCCCUUCCGCAUGGUUGGGAUCUCAAAGGUCCGCCGGUCUGGGAGCAGGCGAUUUUGUAUCAGCUAGUUGGUGAGGUAACGGCUCACCAAGGCGAUGACGCAUAGCCGGACUGAGAGGUUGGCCGGCCACAUUGGGACUGAGACACUGCCCAGACUCCUACGGGGGGCUGCAGUAACGAAUCUUCCGCAAUGCACGAAAGUGUGACGGAGCGACGCCGCGUGUGGGACGAAGCCCUUCGGGGUGUAAACCACUGUCAGAGGAUAGAAAGUUCUGAUCAUCCUCAGAGGAAGGCACGGCUAACUCUGCGCCAGCAGCCGC
RNAcentral lists this ribosomal RNA (464 nucleotides) under uncultured bacterium. Its description in RNAcentral is "SSU rRNA". It matches the Rfam family "Bacterial small subunit ribosomal RNA", at positions 26 to 518 of the family's 1533-position model. The record is from RNAcentral.